AUGCCCCUACGGGGCGCAGCAGUAGGGAAUCUUCCACAAUGGGCGAAAGCCUGAUGGAGCAACGCCGCGUGGGUGAAGAAGGUCUUCGGAUCGUAAAACCCUGUUGUUAGAGAAGAAAGAGCGUGAGAGUAACUGUUCACGUUUCGACGGUAUCUAACCAGAAAGCCACGGCUAAAUAGGUGCCAGCAGCCGCGGUAAUAAGUAGGUGGCAAGCGUUAUCCGGAUUUAUUGGGCGUAAAGGGAAAGCAGG
RNAcentral lists this ribosomal RNA (250 nucleotides) under uncultured bacterium. Its description in RNAcentral is "partial 16S ribosomal RNA". It matches the Rfam family "Bacterial small subunit ribosomal RNA", at positions 333 to 575 of the family's 1533-position model. The record is from RNAcentral.